Molecule: non-coding RNA, 30 nt
Filed under: Mus musculus (house mouse)
Lineage: Eukaryota; Metazoa; Chordata; Mammalia; Rodentia; Muridae
Source: RNAcentral
UGCAAAUAAGCCUUACAGGUAUGGUGGGCA